GAUGAACGCUGGCGGCGUGCCUAAUACAUGCAAGUCGAGCGAACAGAUGAGGAGCUUGCUCCUCUGACGUUAGCGGCGGACGGGUGAGUAACACGUGGAUAACCUACCUAUAAGACUGGGAUAACUUCGGGAAACCGGAGCUAAUACCGGAUAAUAUAUUGAACCGCAUGGUUCAAUAGUGAAAGACGGUUUUGCUGUCACUUAUAGAUGGAUCCGCGCCGCAUUAGCUAGUUGGUAAGGUAACGGCUUACCAAGGCAACGAUGCGUAGCCGACCUGAGAGGGUGAUCGGCCACACUGGAACUGAGACACGGUCCAGACUCCUACGGGAGGCAGCAGUAGGGAAUCUUCCGCAAUGGGCGAAACCCUGACGGAGCAACGCCGCGUGAGUGAUGAAGGUCUUCGGUUCGUAAAACUCUGUUAUUAGGGAAGAACAAAUGUGUAAGUAACUAUGCACGUCUUGACGGUACCUAAUCAGAAAGCCACGGCUAACUACGUG
RNAcentral lists this ribosomal RNA (497 nucleotides) under uncultured bacterium. RNAcentral's name for it is "partial 16S ribosomal RNA". It matches the Rfam family "Bacterial small subunit ribosomal RNA", at positions 28 to 507 of the family's 1533-position model. The record is from RNAcentral.